ACGUAUCUCUGACGGCGAGGGUGCGCCCUGCUCCGGACCGAAAGGACGUGCAGCGGGCGAGCCCGAGUCGCUCAACCUUUGCAAACCCCACUGUGCACUUUUGUCGGCAGAAGGUCCCACGUGGCCUUGGCCGGAUCACAAACUCCAAGUUUGAUGUGAAUGUGUAGCGGACCAUGUGCCGCCUAAACUUUAA
This 193-nucleotide unclassified non-coding RNA is filed under the name uncultured fungus. Its description in RNAcentral is "sequence contains ITS1, 5.8S rRNA gene". Lineage: Eukaryota; Fungi. The record is from RNAcentral.